GCCCCGGCCGCCGCUUCACAUCGGGGUCCCCGCCCCCCCAGCCGGGGGGCGUCUGCCCGGCGUGGAGCCCCGGCUCAUGCACUCCGCGGCGAGAUGCUACGGCCCCGGGCGGGUGGCCGAGGCGGCGGCGAGGUGGGGGACCCGGCCGGCUCCGCUCGGCGCCGCCCCCGCUCCCGGCUCCCGCAUGUGUCGCUGCGGCUGGGACCCCCGCCCUCCACCUUGGGGGUCCCUCGCCCCGCGCCCCGGGACCAACAGAAGCUCCGGCCCCUCCUCAGCGUCCUCUCCCCGCGGAGCAGCGGACUAGUCCCGGUCCGAGGUAGCCACCUCCCUGCCCCCCAGCCACCGGCUCCGGCUCGGGCUCCGGCGUGUGCAGCCGCGGCUGCCGGCCGGGAAGGUGAGGGGGGGAGAAGAGAGGUGGCCGCGGCUCCCGCCGGCCCAGGUCAGGGCAGAGGUCCUGGCGGCGGCCGGUGCACGGGCGCUGGGUCUCUCAGAUGCUCCCUGGCUCUCACGCUCGCGGCGGCGGCGGCGGCGGUAGCGCCCGGAGCUCAGCUCGCUGUCUCCCUCGCUUAGUGCGGGGCUCUCGCCUCACUCCAGAGAGAGGGGCGGGAGGAAAACGGCGCGCAACAAUGACGCAAGUCACCUAGCAACCGCUCUCUCCCCCACCCCCUCCCUUCUCUCUCCGCUCGGAGGCUCACUCCCCUAGUCUUUUUUCACCUUUCCGACCACCCCGCCCUAGGCGCCUCUGGCGCGCUCUGAUGACGCUCCAAGGGAAGAGGAAGUCGGGCUCGGCGAGCGGGUGGGUGCGCCUCGGGCCGCGGACUCGGUGUCGCUGCCGCCGCCUCUACGGCCGCGUCAGAACAGAAGAGAGGAAGGGGAGGAGCCGCGUGGAGCCUAAGCUGCCGCCUGAGCUUACCCCUGACCCGAGGGCGGUGGAGAGAGCUUGCUCUGUAGCGGUUUCCUUCAGAGCAGGUGGUGACUGCUCCUUGGGGAGCAAGGAGGAGGCCCAGGCCGCGCGGCCAUGCUCGGGCGCGCACCACCCGAAGGAAAUGGGGCUGCGGUUGAAAUGAGUCCCAACCUGAGUCUUAAGUGAAAAAAGAGGCGAACUGCUGGGACGAAAGAAGGGAGCCGUCCUCCCAGGGAU
Bos taurus (domestic cattle) is the source of this 1141-nucleotide long non-coding RNA. NCBI's taxonomy places the organism in Eukaryota, Metazoa, Chordata, Mammalia, Artiodactyla, Bovidae. The record is from Ensembl.